Molecule: long non-coding RNA, 332 nt
Organism: Sapajus apella (tufted capuchin)
Lineage: Eukaryota; Metazoa; Chordata; Mammalia; Primates; Cebidae
Exons: 3
Source: RefSeq, a predicted model, not a curated record
UUAUAGCCCACAGACAAGGAGAUUCCCAGGCGGAGGAGACCCACAGGUCGCCAGUGAGGCUGUUUUGGCUGGCGCCAUUCUUUCAGUGGGUGAGGCAAAGCAGCCCCUUUGUUGGCACUGCUUUGUCAGAGGCCCUGCUGGCAGUUCUCCGUACAAAAUACACUGGUCUGGCGCCUUUUUGGCUGGCGAUUGAAGCCCCAGGAAGCCACACAUUCAUCUGAUUAAAGAGGGGACUGAACAGAGAGCCAGGCCAGGAGAUUCCUGAGCAAAAAACGCACCACAAAUCUCAGCACCGCUUCAUGGGAAAUCACACAGAUCCCGGCAACUUUUCA